This 29-nucleotide small RNA is filed under the name Bombyx mori (domestic silkworm). RNAcentral's name for it is "ovarian small RNA-25980". The record is from RNAcentral. Lineage: Eukaryota; Metazoa; Arthropoda; Insecta; Lepidoptera; Bombycidae.
UCAUAUCAAUUACAAUACCAAAAUAUCAA